This 253-nucleotide ribosomal RNA is filed under the name uncultured bacterium. Its description in RNAcentral is "partial 16S ribosomal RNA". It matches the Rfam family "Bacterial small subunit ribosomal RNA", at positions 524 to 776 of the family's 1533-position model. The record is from RNAcentral.
UACAGAGGGUGCGAGCGUUAAUCGGAUUUACUGGGCGUAAAGGGUGCGUAGGCGGUUAUAUAAGUGGGAUGUGAAAGCCCUGGGCUCAACCUAGGAAGUGCAUACCAUACUGUAUAGCUGGAGUAUAAGAGAGGGUGGUGGAAUUUCCGGUGUAGCGGUGAAAUGCGUAGAGAUCGGAAGGAACGUCAAUGGCGAAGGCAGCCACCUGGCUUAAUACUGACGCUGAGGCACGAAAGCGUGGGGAGCGAACAGG